CAAAGUCAAACUAAUCAUUUCCGAAUGCCAUCCUUUGCUCCAAAAUAAUUAAAAGAAAUAACCUUAUUUCUAUUAAUCAAUUUCUUUCUUUUUCGAAUGCCAUCCUUCAUAAAUCAAAGUCAAAUAUGACUUGUACUAAAUUUGGGCCACAUAAAGCUUGAUAGUCAAAAAAUUAGAGGCCCAAUUAUGCGCUACUUUGGAGACGUACUUUAUAUCUAUCAGUUGGUCUCUCCAUCUUUAUCUCUUCGCAAAUGUACGACCUGCAGCUUGCAAAGUCUUUGGCUUUUAGGAUUCCCCAAUGACGCGAUUCUUUCGCUGUUCCAAUCUCUCCUCCAUCUCCAAGAGAUUUGCAUCCUGAAAAUCUUCUUCUGAUUAUGACCAAAGCUCCUGAUGCGUCCCUAUAUUCUUGUGGACAAAUGUGGGUAUGAUUUCAUGGAUACAUAUAUAAUAACUCAUCUUAUAGUUAUCCAUAAAUAUGAAACCAUUUACGCAGCAAUCAUCAAACUAAUCUUAAAUUCAAAUUUCAGAUUCUUCAAGGUUAUCAGCUGCUAAUUCUGAUAAGAAUUUCGUAGGUUCCCCUUCAAGUAAAGACUUCUAACUAUUGUAGGGAACUAGCACUAUAUAUAGAGUGCUAAAGUUCAUAUUUUUUUUUUUCUACAAACUCAAGCUUGGAUCGCAGAAAUCCUCUUCCUCUUUCAAUUUUCUUUCGUUGACAGCGUUGGGGUUGAAUCUUGAUAAUUGGAGAUCCAGUAUAUAAUCACUUGACUUUAAAUGAAGUAGAGUGUGGAGAGAAGCAGCGGCGGGAUGGGCUCCUUGUUGUUGCCCUGUUUUACCGGAGCUGCGCGCGUAGCGGCAGUCCCCAGAAGCAGCGGCGGUGCGGCUCUCCUCGCUGGUGCUAUCCAUCGGAGAAUGUGUUGUGCUUCCAGCUAGGGAGACAAAUGCGGAGCUUGGAGGUUAAACUCGCCGGAUUACCAUCAAUGGCGUCGACAUUUAUGCAGCAAUUCGCAAAGUAGAAGACCUUCGGGAAGCGAUCGUCGAAGAAGUAUUUGGAGGAGGCGCUGCACAAGAAGCUGUCCAGCGAUGGCGGUGAUGGAGGAAUUCAGGCUUCGUUUUUUGCAGCAGUCAUUGGCUUCUUUUUAGCGGGCGCGGCAGCAGUCGGAACCGGCUUGGAGCACGGAGGGAUGGAGUUGAGAGGCUUCUCGCAGGAUUUCAGGAUGUGGGGACCGAAGCGGAGAAAACAUGACGGCGAACCAUGGCAGCAGUGCAACGUCUAUCCCAGGCAACAACGGCGUCGACAUAUUUUGAAAAGAAUGAGAGAAGUGGAGAGUGCAGACUCGAUUAUGUUUCUAUGGCGACCUUCAGUUUGAGUGCGAGCGUUGGAGAAGCAGGGACAGCUUGUGGCAAUCGCCGACUUCUUCGGAAUGGACGCAGCAGCAGCAGGAACCGACUUUGAGCACGGAGGGAUGGAGUGGGGUUGUACUCGGUGAGGGAGUUGCUUUGCUUGAUCACAUUCGAGCGUGGAGAGAAGCGGCCGUGGGAGUUGGAUCUGGCUCCUCAAUCAAAUGACAGCAGCAACAACAUGAUUAUGGUCAACCAUCUGUUUCUCCAUAUUCUCAAAGUUAUCCUGUGCGGCAUUCGUCUCCUGUGGGAUAGCUACACUCGUCAAGAUUAUGCCGUGACUUUCUUCUUCUUCUUUUUUUUUUUUUUUUUUUUUUGUAGGAAUUGGUGAUUUUGCACGCAUCCAUUGAAAAGUCGUGGAGUUUUUUUUUUUUUUUUUUUUUUUUUCAUAUAGAAGUUUUAUGUUGCCCCAACUUCAACUAUUAUUCGAGUGCAUUCAACCGAGGAAUUUCGCUGAUACAAAUUGAUGGAGUGCAUUCAACCGAAGAAUUUUGCUGAUACAAAUUCGAGGGAUUUCUUCAUCUACUCAUCGGAGCUUCUCAAUAUGGAUUGGAUGAUGUUUACCUUGCACCUUUAGGUGGCUCUCAAUUGGCUUUUAUUCAGAUUCUGGGUGCGCUCGAAUCUGGGCCAUUGUGAGUCUUGCCUUUAAAGGUUUCUCGAGUCUAGUUUCAAUGGAGUUGGUACUUUUAGCGAGCGCGUGCUUCCACUCCACUACUACCAGAUUUAAUGGAGUUGUUACUUUUGGCGAGCGCAUGCUUCCACUCCGCUGCUAGGUGUUAUAAAGCUCGAAGUUCGGCGUAUACUUUGGAAUCAAGGCGAAGUUCUCCGCGUCGGCGCAUACUUUGGAAGCAAGGCGAAGCCCUCCCCAUUGGCGUAUACUUUGGAAGCAAGGCGAGACCCUCCACAUCGACACAUACUUUGGAAGCAAGGCGAAGCCCUCCACAUCGACACAUACUUUGGAAGCAAGGCAAGGCCCUUCACAUCGACCCAUACUUUGGAAGCAAGGAGAAGGUCCGCAUCAACGUUCCCUAUGCAUCAACAUUAUAAAGUCCAAAGUUUAAGUCAGAUCCAACAUUCGAACAAAGCGAAGACCCUCCACGUCAACGUCAUGAAGCUCAAAGAUCAAGUCCAAGAAGAUCGGAUGCAUAUUUCUUCAAUAAAUCUCAAGGACUACUCAAAGAUCGUUCAAGAAUUAACUUGAAUAUUGGAGAGAGCUCUUUCAAAGUGUGUUGAAGCUAGAUGUGGAAACGCGGAGUUUAAAAUUGAUCAAGAACGCUUUCAAGGUUUGGACCCGUUUUAUUGAAGCUUUGUCAACUAUUGGCUCUCUCAUUGCUUCGUUUCUUCACUUGCAUUUGUCCAUAACUUUCGCGCAACAUUUAUUGCUUCUUCUGAAUUAAUGCAACAUUUGGCUUCAGACA
Molecule: long non-coding RNA, 2816 nt
Organism: Salvia miltiorrhiza (redroot sage)
Lineage: Eukaryota; Viridiplantae; Streptophyta; Magnoliopsida; Lamiales; Lamiaceae
Exons: 2
Source: RefSeq, a predicted model, not a curated record